UAUAUGGGUCAAGUGAAAUACCUAUCUAAUGAGUCACACAAACAGGGAAGGUGUGUUCGAAUAGCUAUUUUUUUACUGAAAGUACUUGACGACAGUCUUACAAGUUGGAUGAUGAAAAUGCAUAUCUUCGAAAAAUUCUAAUUUUUUGUGUGUGAUAACUAGGGUUUAUAGUCUUCAACCACUAAAAAAAUCUAGUCUGCCCUUCCACGAAAUAUUUAAUUAGAUUUUUUUAAAUGUUUAUGAUUUUUCGAAAAUUCCACCUAACAACCGAUCAGACAAUAGUUUAAGUUGAAUCAAUGCAGACAAGAUCAUUAACUGAUGCUCAUUAGCUAGUUGAUACAUUUGUCUUUUAAAAUAUAACUGACAUAUAAGGAUCG
This 377-nucleotide long non-coding RNA is filed under the name Mytilus galloprovincialis (Mediterranean mussel). The record is from RNAcentral. Lineage: Eukaryota; Metazoa; Mollusca; Bivalvia; Mytilida; Mytilidae.